ACGCUGGCGGCGUGCCUAAUACAUGCAAGUCGAACGGACAAGUAAGAGCUCGCUCUUAUGAGUUAGUGGCGCACGGGUGAGUAAUGUAUAGCUAAUCUGCCCUACACUAGAGGACAACAGUUGGAAACGACUGCUAAUACUCUAUACUCCUCUCUAGCAUAAGUUAGAUAGGGAAAGUUUUUCGGUGUAGGAUGAGGCUAUAUUGUAUCAGCUAGUUGGUGAGGUAAUGGCUCACCAAGGCUAUGACGCAUAACUGGUCUGAGAGGAUGAUCAGUCACACUGGAACUGAGACACGGUCCAGACUCCUACGGGAGGCAGCAGUAGGGAAUAUUGCUCAAUGGGGGAAACCCUGAAGCAGCAACGCCGCGUGGAGGAUGACACUUUUCGGAGCGUAAACCCCUUUUGUUAGGGAAGAACAAUGACGGUACCUAACGAAUAAGCACCGGCUAACUCCGUGCCAGCAGCCGCGGUAAUACGGAGGGUGCAAGCGUUACUCGGAAUCACUGGGCGUAAAGGACGCGUAGGCGGAUUAUCAAGUCUCUUGUGAAAUCCUAUGGCUUAACCAUAGAACUGCUUGGGAAACUGAUAAUCUAGAGUGAGGGAGAGGCAGAUGGAAUUGGUGGUGUAGGGGUAAAAUCCGUAGAGAUCACCAGGAAUACCCAUUGCGAAGGCGAUCUGCUGGAACUCAACUGACGCUAAUGCGUGAAAGCGUGGGGAGCAAACAGGAUUAGAUACCCUGGUAGUCCACGCCCUAAACGAUGUAUACUAGUUGUUGCUAAGCUAGUCUUGGCAGUAAUGCACCUAACGGAUUAAGUAUACCGCCUGGGGAGUACGGUCGCAAGAUUAAAACUCAAAGGAAUAGACGGGGACCCGCACAAGCGGUGGAGCAUGUGGUUUAAAUUCGAAGAU
Molecule: ribosomal RNA, 909 nt
Filed under: uncultured bacterium
Lineage: Bacteria
Description: bacterial SSU rRNA
Rfam family: Bacterial small subunit ribosomal RNA
Source: RNAcentral